RNAcentral lists this ribosomal RNA (475 nucleotides) under uncultured bacterium. RNAcentral describes it as "bacterial SSU rRNA". It matches the Rfam family "Bacterial small subunit ribosomal RNA", at positions 30 to 521 of the family's 1533-position model. The record is from RNAcentral.
AUUGAACGCUGGCGGCAUGCCUUACACAUGCAAGUCGAACGGCAGCACGGGUGCUUGCACCUGGUGGCGAGUGGCGAACGGGUGAGUAAUACAUCGGAACGUACCUUAUCGUGGGGGAUAACGCAGCGAAAGCUGUGCUAAUACCGCAUACGCCCUGAGGGGGAAAGCGGGGGAUCGAAAGGCCUCGCGCGAUUAGAGCGGCCGAUGCCUGAUUAGCUUGUUGGUGGGGUAAAAGCCCACCAAGGCGACGAUCAGUAGCUGGUCUGAGAGGACGAUCAGCCACACUGGGACUGAGACACGGCCCAGACUCCUACGGGAGGCAGCAGUGGGGAAUUUUGGACAAUGGGGGAAACCCUGAUCCAGCAAUGCCGCGUGAGUGAAGAAGGCCUUCGGGUUGUAAAGCGUCUUUACCCGUAGAUGAUAAUGACAGUAUCGGAGAAUAAGCUCCGGCUAACUCCGUGCCAGCAGCCGCGGU